RNAcentral lists this transfer RNA (66 nucleotides) under Parborlasia corrugatus (corrugated ribbon worm). RNAcentral's name for it is "tRNA-Ile". Lineage: Eukaryota; Metazoa; Nemertea; Pilidiophora; Heteronemertea; Lineidae. The record is from RNAcentral.
AAUUUUGCGCCGGCGGAACGGGUUACAUUGAUGGUGUAAAGUAAAAGGCUUAGUCCUUCAAGAUUA